This 465-nucleotide ribosomal RNA is filed under the name uncultured bacterium. RNAcentral describes it as "partial 16S ribosomal RNA". It matches the Rfam family "Bacterial small subunit ribosomal RNA", at positions 31 to 507 of the family's 1533-position model. The record is from RNAcentral.
GAACGCUGGCGGCGUGCUUAACACAUGCAAGUCGAACGGAAAGGCCCUGCUUUUGUGGGGUGCUCGAGUGGCGAACGGGUGAGUAACACGUGAGUAACCUGCCCUUGACUUUGGGAUAACUUCAGGAAACUGGGGCUAAUACCGGAUAGGAGCUCCUGCUGCAUGGUGGGGGUUGGAAAGUUUCGGCGGUUGGGGAUGGACUCGCGGCUUAUCAGCUUGUUGGUGGGGUAGUGGCUUACCAAGGCUUUGACGGGUAGCCGGCCUGAGAGGGUGACCGGCCACAUUGGGACUGAGAUACGGCCCAGACUCCUACGGAAGGCAGCAGUGGGGAAUAUUGCACAAUGGGCGGAAGCCUGAUGCAGCAACGCCGCGUGCGGGAUGACGGCCUUCGGGUUGUAAACCGCUUUCGCCUGUGACGAAGCGUGAGUGACGGUAAUGGGUAAAGAAGCACCGGCUAACUACGUG